Molecule: unclassified non-coding RNA, 212 nt
Filed under: Glomus sp.
Lineage: Eukaryota; Fungi; Glomeromycota; Glomeromycetes; Glomerales; Glomeraceae
Description: partial contains 5.8S ribosomal RNA and internal transcribed spacer 2
Rfam family: 5.8S ribosomal RNA (bases 1-72)
Source: RNAcentral
GUGAAUCAUCGAAUUUUUGAACGCAAAUUGCACUCUCCGGUUUUCCGGGGAGGUAUGCCUGUUUGAGGGUCGGUUUAAAAAAUAAUCGAUGCUGCUGCUGUGGUGGCUCUUGGGAAUGGGGUCAUCUGUAACCGCUCGGUUGUAAGCGACCUAAAAUUUUUUUUACGAUUUCGACGAACGUGGCUAAGAAUUUCGUGUACGUUCACUACAUC